UAGGGAAUCUUGGGCAAUGGGCGAAAGCCUGACCCAGCGAUGCCGCGUGUGCGAAGAAGGCCUUAGGGUUGUAAAGCACUUUCAGUUGCGAAGAAAAGCUACGGUUUAAUACGCCGUGGUCUUGACGUUAACAACAGAAGAAGUACCGGCUAACUCCGUGCCAGCAGCCGCGGUAAUACGGAGGGUACGAACGUUAAUCGGAAUUACUGGGCGUAAAGCGCGCGUAGGCGGUUUGAUAAGUGGGAUGUGAAAGCCCCGGGCUCAACCUGGGAACUGCAUUCCAAACUGUCAAACUAGAGUGUGGUAGAGGGAGGUAGAAUUUCCUGUGUAGCGGUGAAAUGCGUAGAUAUAGGAAGGAAUACCGAUGGCGAAGGCAGCCUCCUGGACCAACACUGACGCUGAGGUGCGAAAGCGUGGGGAGCAAACAGG
RNAcentral lists this ribosomal RNA (429 nucleotides) under uncultured bacterium. RNAcentral describes it as "bacterial SSU rRNA". It matches the Rfam family "Bacterial small subunit ribosomal RNA", at positions 355 to 776 of the family's 1533-position model. The record is from RNAcentral.